AGGAAUAAGAGGUGCCUACGGGUGUAUGUCAAUAAGGAUAUAGGCAUUGAAAAAGGGAACAUCUACAAUCAUUUUGUAAGUGAUGCAACUGGAGGAGCAAUUGUUAUGCAAACAGAGAUAGGUACUCCAGCUGAUCCCUUCCCAGCAAGGUCCAUUUGGAACUGUAUACCAUGGUCUGUGGGAUGGAUCAGUACUUCUACGCAUCAAUUUUAGCUUCAUGAGUAUUAAAAACUGAAAAGACAUGCUAAGCAGCAGCUUGAGUUUCUUCAGGUGUUUCCUCUUUGUCAUCAGUCUAUUUACAUGUUCCUUGCUCAUGAUGCUCCUCUAG
This is a long non-coding RNA of Rosa rugosa (rugosa rose), 328 nucleotides long. RefSeq lists it as uncharacterized. Lineage: Eukaryota; Viridiplantae; Streptophyta; Magnoliopsida; Rosales; Rosaceae. The transcript has 4 exons. The record is from RefSeq and is a predicted model, not a curated record.